RNAcentral lists this long non-coding RNA (218 nucleotides) under Nicotiana benthamiana. Its description in RNAcentral is "long non-coding RNA (NBEN_LNC018665)". The record is from RNAcentral. Lineage: Eukaryota; Viridiplantae; Streptophyta; Magnoliopsida; Solanales; Solanaceae.
GGGUGUUGCCGUGCACUAUGUGUUUGAGAGCAAAAGCACGAAGGGUAAUACUGUGCACUGUAUAUUGAGAGUAAAAGCACGAAGGGUGAUGCUGUGCAUUAUAUUUGAUAUUCUUGGUGAGAAAUGAGGUAAAAAGCAUGAAGGGUGAUGCCGUGCAUUAUAUUUGACCGUUUUGGUGAGGAAUGAGAGUAAAAGCAAGAAGGGUAAUGCCGUUCAGC